Molecule: RNase P RNA, 420 nt
Filed under: Pseudomonadota bacterium
Lineage: Bacteria; Pseudomonadati; Pseudomonadota
Description: RNase P RNA component class A
Rfam family: Bacterial RNase P class A
About the family: Ribonuclease P (RNase P) is a ubiquitous endoribonuclease, found in archaea, bacteria and eukarya as well as chloroplasts and mitochondria. Its best characterised activity is the generation of mature 5'-ends of tRNAs by cleaving the 5'-leader elements of precursor-tRNAs. Cellular RNase Ps are ribonucleoproteins.
Source: RNAcentral
GAAGCUGGCCAAACGGCCGCUGCGGGGCUCGACCCCGCAGAGGAAAGUCGGGACUCCAUAGGGCAGGGUGCUGGGUAACGCCCAGACGCCGUGAGGCGAGGAAUAGGGCCACAGAGACGAGUCUUUCCCGGCUUGUCGCCGCGCUCAGGCGCGGAGACAAAGUCUCCCGGAGCAGGGCAGGGGUUCUGCUCCUGCACCGGACGGGAGAUGCGAAGGGGGCCGUCGCGCUUGCGCGGCGGCUUUCCCGACGCAGUCGGGAAAGGGUGAAACGCGGCAACCUCCACCCGGAGCAACACCAAGUAGGCAGGCGAUGAGGCGGCCCGCGGAGCCUGCGGGUAGGUGGCUGGAGCCCUGGGGUGACUCAGGGCCUAGAUGAAUGGCCGUUCACGACAGAAUCCCGCUUAUCGGCCAGCUUCACUU